Molecule: long non-coding RNA, 241 nt
Filed under: Homo sapiens (human)
Lineage: Eukaryota; Metazoa; Chordata; Mammalia; Primates; Hominidae
Description: HSALNT0321821
Source: RNAcentral
CCAAGUCCACGCUGGGACGCCCGGGAGGAGUUCAGGGUUCAAGUGCGCGCCUGGGUCUGUGCACAUCUUCCCCUUCCUCGGCCUCCCUGGAGGGAAGACCGUAGAAGCUUUAUCAUAGGGCCUAGUGUCAUGAUCAUAUAUUUACUCCAUAAAUACCUGUGAGGGAAGAAAGCUAAUGGAACUUGAGAGCAGGUGAAAUGGAAGGCUAUGUGCAAGUUCUAAGGGAAUAAAGUUUGUUUUC